CGGUGAGUAACGCGUAUGCAACCGUACCUAUCAGAGGGGAACUAACCGGCGAAAGUCGGACUAAUACCGCAUAAAACAGGGGCACCGCAUGGUGAUAUUUGUUAAAGAAAUUCGCUGAUAGAUGGGCAUGCGUUCCAUUAGGUAGUUGGUGAGGUAACGGCUCACCAAGCCGACGAUGGAUAGGGGAACUGAGAGGUUGGUCCCCCACACUGGUACUGAGACACGGACCAGACUCCUACGGGAGGCAGCAGUGAGGAAUAUUGGUCAAUGGGCGGGAGCCUGAACCAGCCAAGUCGCCGUGAAGGAAGAAGGAUCUAUGGUUCGUAAACUUCUUUUGCAGGGGAAUAAAGUGCAGGACGUGUCCUGUUUUGUAUGUACCCUGAGAAUAAGGAUCGGCUAACUCCGUGCCAGCCGCCGC
This 418-nucleotide ribosomal RNA is filed under the name uncultured bacterium. RNAcentral's name for it is "bacterial SSU rRNA". It matches the Rfam family "Bacterial small subunit ribosomal RNA", at positions 100 to 518 of the family's 1533-position model. The record is from RNAcentral.